GUAGAAGGUAAGAGAACUGUGAAAGAUGCUUAAGCUGGAAGAAAGUUCUGUGUUGCAUAUAUUGAAGUUCUAGAAACUCAGACAUGAAAUUGAAAUUCCUGUCACUUUGAUACUGGCUUGUGAUGGGAAUGCAGCCAUGACUAGAGUGCUGUGUCAUGCUGGAGAACUCAAAGGACCUAAUACCAAAAACUGCUGUUGAAAUACAAGAUCAAGUUAUUUUCGGUUCUCAGUAACGAUGGACCUGAAAUAUAUUUGAAUAAUGGAGGCGUCAGCUGCUGAGAAGAAAACUCACAAAGGGAAAGAAGAUUUGCAACAAUAUCAUCAGAAACCUGCAAACUGCAAGAAAUUGCUUAGCAAUUGCUGCUUGAUAAAGCGAAUUUUUGCCUGGAAAAGUUUGAGCUCCAAAGUUUAUUGCUGCUGUUGCCUUUCUUGA
Molecule: long non-coding RNA, 433 nt
Filed under: Struthio camelus australis
Lineage: Eukaryota; Metazoa; Chordata; Aves; Struthioniformes; Struthionidae
Description: lncRNA (ENSSCUG00000006439.1)
Source: RNAcentral